Vicia villosa (hairy vetch) is the source of this 2579-nucleotide RNA transcript. RefSeq lists it as uncharacterized. Lineage: Eukaryota; Viridiplantae; Streptophyta; Magnoliopsida; Fabales; Fabaceae. The record is from RefSeq and is a predicted model, not a curated record. The transcript has 7 exons.
GAAAUACGUCAAACCUUAUUUCCAUUCUGAAAAAACCGAUCAGUAUCAACCAAAGCACAUUGUUCUUCCCCAAACAAAAUGGUAUCUUCACAUUAAAAAUCUGCAAAUUCCAAAAUUUGAAAUGAAAACAAUGGACAAAGACAUAUCAAACUGGGUCAUGGAGUUUCUCCUUCGAAGCUCCGUUCCCGAUUCCCUCAUCCAUAAAACCCUAACCGUUCUUCCACUCUCCGGCGCCGAUUCUCGUCUCAAAAAAACCCUCCUCCUCCGUACUCUCCAAACUCACCUCCGCACCGCCUCCCUCUCCGAAACCUCUCUCCAAAUCAUCGAAUCCCUCGAGGAGCUUUACCGCAGAGAUGAGAUUCGUGUCUCCGCGGCAAUGCGCAGCGCUUAUUGCGCUGUUGCUGUUGAGUGUACCGUGAAAUAUCUUAUUACUUCCCAUGAGGAUCCAUCCGGAGAGUAUUUUUCCGCUGUUCGAAGGAUCUGGCGUGGUCGUGUUGUUCAAUUGUCGGCUGAGGGACAGAGGAGUGAGCUUCUAUCGGAGGAGUUGUCGCGGUGGGGAGAGGACAUUGAGGCUGCGCUUUGGGAUGUUAGGGCUUCGGAGAGGCUUGCGGGUUUGAAUACAAGGAGAGAUGCGAUGAAUGAGGUUCAUAGGUUUUUGAAGGAUGCGUGGCAAGUUAUGGGACCUUCGUUUCUUGAUUCGAUGGCGAUGGUCUCUAAAGGGAAUGGUUUACGUCCUGAAGGUGUUUGUGGAAAUGCUUCGGGUAGUGAAAAGUUGAAGAAGAGUGAUGGAAGGUUAGAUAGUUUGGGAAAGGAGAAAAUGUGUUCUGUUGUGGAUGAUAACAAUGAUAAUGACAAUGUUGAUGAUGGUGGUGAUGAUGAUGACGACGUGGCAGUGAUGGGUGAAAACCAUGGGAAUGAAAGAUUGGAAGAGAGAGUUGGUACUUCUGUUGAUGCAAAUCAGGAAGUGGGUGGGUGUGAUUCUUCAAAUGUAGAUAAAGAAAUUUGGGAAGGCAAUGUUCGGCUCAAACGCAAGCACUCUGCACUACGAACAUGCCAUAGAGGAGUUAAAAUCUCUGGUGCUGAGGAAGUGAGGCCAACAAAUUUAUCGAGUAAAUAUAAAAUCUUGCCUAGUCCUGAAGUAGAGAAAGUUCGGGAAUCCCUUAAAUCAAGUUCUAUGGAGUUAAAGGCAUUGGUCAAGGAUCCUCUUCCUGAUGCAUUGCGAUCAUCUGAAGAUGUAAGAUCCAAAUUGGCAACAAAACAUAUAAAUCUUGGGCCACCGAGUGAAAAUCAGAGUGGACCUGUAGAUGUACGGCGUUCAGAUGGAUGCAAAACUAUUGUACUUUAUCAGGCUAAGGCUAAUGAUGCCAAUCUUUCAAAGAAGUCUUCUGUUCCUUGUAGUAAUGAUCGCCGCCCCAACUUUAUGGGGCGGGCAAGUUCUGCUCAUACUUACGAGUGGGAUGAUUCAAUUGAUAACUCACUACAAGCUAGACAGCCAAGAAGGAAGAAAAGGAAAUGGACUUCAUUGGAAGAGGAGACACUAAGGGCUGGUGUAAAAAUGUUUGGAGAAGGAAACUGGCGGACAAUUCGAGACUUUUACAGCAACAUAUUUGAAUAUAGAAGUGGAGUUGAUCUAAAAGACAAGUGGAGAAAUAUGAUGCGGUGACACAGAGGAGUUAUUUAAAUUUCCAUGUGUAUAUAUCUCAGGAAGGUGAUUGAUAUAGGAGCUUUGAUGGAAUCUUCUAGUUUUGUGAUCAUGGAUGACCCACUGUUGAACGGGUUUUGCCAGUUCCCGGUCUCUCUCCUCCUUGGUUCAUACUUAACAUUUGACUCUCAAGUUGGCCUGUGGGAUAAACUGCAUUGCAUAUUUACAGUUUAUUCCUUUCUGAUUAUUUUUGUCAUAAAUCAGAUAAAUGAUAAUUUUGAUUGAAGGUUUUAUCAAUGCAAUGCAGUUUUGUUGAAGCACAGUUCAGCUAGUGCUGUUAGUGUGGACCAACUUGUAACCCAAAGUGCCCAUGUUUAUCUUUUUGUGAUUACAGGAAGCUCGAAAGGGAAAGAAAUCAUACCAACUUUGAGAUCUGAAUUGUACUACUUAACUGUUUACACAAAGGAAGCCAUUUGAUGCUUCCUUUUGUUUGAUAAUCUAAAUGCUUAGUUUAAUAUUUUCUUUUAUUUUGUUGCCAUCUAAGGUGUUUCUAAUAUAAACAUUAUAUUAAAACCAAAUCAUAAAUUAUAGUUAUACCGCUUAAGUUAUCUUUAUUAUGAAAUAUAAUAAAUAAAUUGGUCAUUUAAGUAUUAGAAUUUAUGUAUUUAUAUCUAAAAAAUAUUGCUGGUCAAGUUUGAAUUCAAACUUAUAUGAUGACUAAAUUUCAAUAUGUCCCUAAAUUUUGGAUAGCAUAUACAGAUGAACCUUUAAUAUACACAUUUUAACAUUUCGGAAGUGAGUUACUUUUAUUUUCCUCAACAAAUAUAUUUGAAAAUGUAUCUUCGAAAUUUGGAUCUUUAAAAAUGUUACCGCCUUUAAAAAUCUGUAGUAAUUUCAUGUAAAUGCAUGGGUGAAUGCAAAUAGAGAUUGAUUCCAC